Molecule: unclassified non-coding RNA, 334 nt
Filed under: soil metagenome
Description: partial contains 5.8S ribosomal RNA, internal transcribed spacer 2, and large subunit ribosomal RNA
Rfam family: 5.8S ribosomal RNA (bases 1-120)
Source: RNAcentral
GAUGAAGAACGUAGCGAAAUGCGAUAAGUAAUGUGAAUUGCAGAAUUCAGUGAAUCAUCGAAUCCUUGAACGCACAUUGCGCCCGCCAGUAUUCUGGCGGGCAUGCCUGUUCGAGCGUCAUUUCAACCAUCAAGCCCUGCUUGCGUUGGGGUCCUGCGGCUGCCCGCAGGCCCUGAAAACCAGUGGCGGGCUCGCUAGUCACACCGAGCGCAGUAAUACAUCUCGCUUUGGGCGUGCGGCGGGUUCUUGCCGUUAAACACCCCCUUUUUACCAAGGUUGACCUCGGAUCAGGUAGGAAUACCCGCUGAACUUAAGCAUAUCAAUAAGCGGAGGA